UGUUAAAGUCCUAUGCUAAGAUUCAGGAUUCAAUUCCUCUGUAUACAUAUAAUGUCUGUUUUUCAAUAUUUUUUAUUCCAUUUUUUAUUCUACUCUAGUUUUUAUUCUCUUUUGACAUAAAUGUUUUUUCUCUUCUUACCUUAUUCUUAUAAUAAAUAGCACUUUAUAUAUACAAUCAUAAAUAUAACAUUUAUAAAUGAAACAUAAAUAUAACAUUGUCUUUUUCUGCAUAGUAAAUAAAUUUGCAAUACUGUAGUAUUCAGUACUUUAAUGUCCAUAGGGUGCAUGAUACAUUGUUAGAAAACUUGUAAGUAGAGGAGUUUAAUGAUGAAAGUUUUGGCUACUGUCAACCUUACAUUCAGAAAACUUAAUAUUUGAGAAAAAUCAUAUUGCUUGCCACAGUACAUUCAUUGGAGUAUACAAUUGCUGAUUAAUCAGUUAGAUAUUGCGCCUUCUUUGAAAACUUUGAAAAUUAUGUACCUAAAAUGUAUCACAAAAAGUAAGCGAUGAAGUAUAAUGGCCAAAUACAGAGUAUGUGUGGCUGUUAUAAUAUAAAAUUAAGUUGUAAUGAAAUGGUUGUUUUAUUUUUUAAUUUUAUUACUGACAUGAAUCGUCAUAACACAAAAUAUUGCCAUUUUUUGGCAUGAUGAGUAUACCCAUCAAAAACAGCUAACUGGUUAAACAUACCUCGCUGCUAUAAACAUCGCCUAUUACUAAGUUGUUGUGACUAGCAUCUCGUUAACAUCUUUUUGCAAAAAGGAUUAACAUAUGUGCAUUGCCAGAGUGUUAGUUGGCAAAAUGAGUUGGUAUUGAUUUGGACAAUAAUGUGAUUACCUAUGGCAUGCUGGACCUACACAGUUUUGUCUAUCUUCUCAGCAUCGGACAUUUAUGAUGGCUGAGACUUUGUUGGAAGACUUCUGUACUCAUAAGCUUGUACCUGUACCUGUAUUUGUUUGCCAAUAAUGUACUUUAUCUCCUAAUGGGAUGUUGCACCUUCAUUUGUACAUUUAGUCAUUAACCAGAUCUUGGAAUACUUGUGUCUUGUGAAUAUGACUUCCAGUAAUUUAAUCCAUAGAAAUAGUGGUUAAAAAUUUGCAAAAUAUCUAAACAUUGUAAGGAAUUGAAAAUUAGUAAAAUGGCAGCUUUUAUCUAAAGCUACUUUUAUUUCAAAGGUAUGGCCAGUGAACGAGGUCAAAAGAGUCCUUCAACCAUAUUUAUAUAAUGAUGUGCCAUAUGAUAGUUUACCAAAAAAAAACAUCUUAUAUCAAAUUUCAUAUUUACCCUAUUCGAUUUAUUAUUCGAUUUACCCUAAGCAUUUACAUCAUUACAUAUAUAUAAUCUGUAAUUCCAUAAAUUUGUCAUCUUUUACGAAAAGAAAAUUGUCAAAAAGUUUAUGUUUAUAAUGUGCCACAAUUUUCUGCAGAAAUUUUUUGUAUGAUCUUUCUCUUUGUUAAACUAUUGAAUAGUUCAUCACCAGAGAAAUUCAGUUUGGGAAUCUCCUUAACCAUAAACUGCUAAGUCAAUAAAUUGUUUAAGGUGCUAUAUACAAGGUGUUAAAAAAACUGGACAAUAUUUUAUGUAAAUCUAGACAUUAAAUCCAAAAAUCAAAAAACAGAUUCACAA
Long non-coding RNA from Bombus pyrosoma, 1623 nucleotides. RefSeq lists it as uncharacterized. The transcript is spliced from 2 exons. The record is from RefSeq and is a predicted model, not a curated record. NCBI's taxonomy places the organism in Eukaryota, Metazoa, Arthropoda, Insecta, Hymenoptera, Apidae.